RNAcentral lists this ribosomal RNA (460 nucleotides) under uncultured bacterium. RNAcentral describes it as "partial 16S ribosomal RNA". It matches the Rfam family "Bacterial small subunit ribosomal RNA", at positions 338 to 795 of the family's 1533-position model. The record is from RNAcentral.
CCUACGGGUGACAGCAGUGAGGAAUAUUGGUCAAUGGACGAGAGUCUGAACCAGCCAAGUAGCGUGAGGGAUGAAUGCACUAUGGGUUGUAAACUUCUUUUAUAUGGGAAUAAAAUGUUGCACGAGUGGAAUGUUGUAUGUACCAUAAGAAUAAGGAUCGGCUAACUACGUGCCAGCAGCCGCGGUAAUACGGAGGAUCCGAGCGUUAUCCGGAUUUAUUGGGUUUAAAGGGAGCGUAGGUGGAUCGUUAAGUCAGUUGUGAAAGUUUGCGGCUCAACCGUAAAAUUGCAGUUGAAACUGGCAGUCUUGAGUACAGUAGAGGUGGGCGGAAUUCGUGGUGUAGCGGUGAAAUGCUUAGAUAUCACGAAGAACCCCGAUUGCGAAGGCAGCUUACUGGACUGCAACUGACACUGAGGCUCGAAAGUGUGGGUAUCAAACAGGAUUAGAUACCCGGGUAGUC